AGUUGCACAAAACCUGGAAAAAUUAUGUGGAACUGUAUUUCAUGUGAGGGAAAACAGUAGUCUGGCAUUGUUAAAUUAGCAUUGGUUAUGAAAUAGUUCACCUAACUACAAUUUCAACUGAAAGGUUAUUUUUAAUACUUUUGCUUUUGUUUCACUGCAGGUCUUACUUUGUUCUGCCACUGAUUAACCAUAGUCCUCAGAUCCUGAGGGCCAGAUUUAUGGUCAACUGCGUUACGGUAGCUAGCCUGAACUCAGCUUAGCAUCUCACCCGCCGGGUCUUUUCCAUCAUGCCUUUUCUCAGUGAGCUAAGAACUAAAUUCUGUGUUGUAUUUCACAUUGUUCCAGAGGCUUAGACUGGUCACGAAUCUUAUUUCUGCUUCAAGCUUGCGUCCUUUGAACAGAGCUGCAAGUUUGGAAGCUGGGCUGUCAUGUUGCUGGCCAUUUCCCGGUUUGUGGAAGUUAGCAGACAUGCAGUGUUUCUCAGACUUUUUGAAAACGGAUCUUCCCUUUGGCUCAUGCGUGUAAAUGUGUAAUUGCCUUAAUGCCGUGCCCUGUGCUGCCAACUUUUCAGUUCCUCUGGAAGAGCGGGAGCACGAAGUUACUGUAAUUACUGGCUGCAGGAGUUUCCCAUCAUAGAGAAAACUGUGCUACCGCCAGCAAAUGUAAGCAGUUAAAAGUUCCUUCAAGAGGAUGAAUGUUUGCAGUCAGUAAUUAUAGCUGGUUCUCACUCUCUCAACUUAAAAGUGCAUUUGCCAACAUCUAACACUGCUUUUUCUUCCGUUCCCUGAUUCUCUAUAAACUUGUUGGGAAACAUUGCUCUACUGCGUCAUCCAGCCAGUGGAAUGGGAUCCCUCGUAUUAAGACCUUUCACUUGCAACAAAUCCUGGGAAAAUUAUUGUGCAAACUAGAUAGAUAGAAACACGGUUGGUUUGACCAACCGUAGGACAUUUGAACUAGCCUAAUGAUCCUGCCCUGUGCCUACCGCAGGUCCGUCUUUGCCAGUGAAAAUUCUCAGUACUUGGCAUCAAGCGACACACCUAUGACUCCUACUCUCCACAGGGACUGGAGGAACAACUUGGAUCACUUUCACCGCAAAGUCAUUUAAACUGCAAACCCUCAUCUGCCAUGAAUAUUCUCCUUUGUAUACAGAAAGUUUUAUAAUAAAUUUUUCUCUUUGCGUGAAGACAGACCGCAUAUCUUCGGUUCAGAAAAAAAAAGGCUUCUGGGAAGUGGUCAUUUUCUUAACGUGAUAAGAAACUGAAAUGUUUUCAAAGAAAAAACACUUAGAUGUGUGGCCUGCACGGAUUAGUAAGACUGGAAGCUGCUAUUCCAUGAAUCCCUUAAUUACGACAAACCUUCCCUGGCGAGCUGCUAUAUUUACUUAAUAGAAUAUUAAGCUACGAUUUUUACAUGUAUACUAAAGGUAUUUAGGUGUCACUGUUUUCUUGCAGUGUAAUAAUAUUUGAUUUGAUUUAAGUUUGAAUAAGCUUGGGCUUUUUGUUAAUUUCCUCCACUCUGAAGGAUAAAAUAGCCCGGUGCGAAAGCCUUUUAAGAUACAACAAUAUUGUUUAAGCAUGGCAUCUGCAACUAAUAAUAAAGACUAUGCAACUUUGAAUGAAAAAAAAAAA
Grus americana (Whooping crane) is the source of this 1628-nucleotide long non-coding RNA. RefSeq lists it as uncharacterized. The record is from RefSeq and is a predicted model, not a curated record. Lineage: Eukaryota; Metazoa; Chordata; Aves; Gruiformes; Gruidae. The transcript has 2 exons.